GAUGAACGCUGGCGGCGUGCCUAAUACAUGCAAGUCGAGCGAACGGACGAGAAGCUUGCUUCUCUGAUGUUAGCGGCGGACGGGUAAGUAACACGUGGAUAACCUACCUAUAAGACUGGGAUAACUUCGGGAAACCGGAGCUAAUACCGGAUAAUAUUUUGAACCGCAUGGUUCAAAAGUGAAAGACGGUCUUGCUGUCACUUAUAGAUGGAUCCGCGCUGCAUUAGCUAGUUGGUAAGGUAACGGCUUACCAAGGCAACGAUGCAUAGCCGACCUGAGAGGGUGAUCGGCCACACUGGAACUGAGACACGGUCCAGACUCCUACGGGAGGCAGCAGUAGGGAAUCUUCCGCAAUGGGCGAAAGCCUGACGGAGCAACGCCGCGUGAGUGAUGAAGGUCUUCGGACCGUAAAACUCUGUUAUUAGGGAAGAACAUAUGUGUAAGUAACUGUGCACAUCUUGACGGUACCUAAUCAGAAAGCCACGGCUAACUACGUG
This 497-nucleotide ribosomal RNA is filed under the name uncultured bacterium. Its description in RNAcentral is "partial 16S ribosomal RNA". It matches the Rfam family "Bacterial small subunit ribosomal RNA", at positions 28 to 507 of the family's 1533-position model. The record is from RNAcentral.